GUUUCAGGGCAUAACGGAAUUUCUUGUUUUUACUUUCCGAUUCCCCGACCGACGACGAGAGGCAGCGCACAUCGCGCAGAUCUCAGCAGUGGGCCCCAGACAGCCAACAACAACAACAGGCAGGGUACAUCAUAAAAGCGUACCCAUCUCUUUAUUUUUUUCUUCUUCUUCCACGUUUACAUAUCAGUGCCAAGCACUUUGGAGAGGGUAAGGAGGCGGGGCUUUUCAAAUGUUGACAACUAGACCCGAAAAGACCCAAGUCAUUAUAAGUUUAGCUUGAAUGGGGGCUACUGUUUUUUUUCUCUCUUCCCUACGCUAGCGACGUGAGAUAGGCGAGAUGGUCAAAAUGCCUUUCAAUUACGGCCGCCAACCCGUUCGUGAACAAGUCGACCAAAAGCAAAAGCACACGCACAAAUAAAAUAAAAUAAAAAAAAAAAGAGGUCGGAAAUUCAUUUUUGAAAAAUAACAAAAAUUCUCAUUGAAAUCUUUUUCGGAAUACCGGCAACUGAUUAUAUAAAAGGUAAGAGAGAAACAAAACAAGAAAUAACCGAAAA
Daphnia pulicaria is the source of this 554-nucleotide long non-coding RNA. RefSeq lists it as uncharacterized. The transcript is spliced from 2 exons. The record is from RefSeq and is a predicted model, not a curated record. Lineage: Eukaryota; Metazoa; Arthropoda; Branchiopoda; Diplostraca; Daphniidae.